This 253-nucleotide ribosomal RNA is filed under the name uncultured bacterium. RNAcentral's name for it is "partial 16S ribosomal RNA". It matches the Rfam family "Bacterial small subunit ribosomal RNA", at positions 524 to 776 of the family's 1533-position model. The record is from RNAcentral.
UACAGAGGGGGCAAGCGUUGUUCGGAAUUACUGGGCGUAAAGGGCGCGUAGGCGGCCUGUUAAGUCGAACGUGAAAUCCCUGGGCUCAACCCAGGAACUGCGUCCGAUACUGGCAGGCUUGAAUUCGGGAGAGGGAUGCGGAAUUCCAGGUGUAGCGGUGAAAUGCGUAGAUAUCUGGAGGAACACCGGUGGCGAAGGCGGCAUCCUGGACCGAUAUUGACGCUGAGGCGCGAAAGCCAGGGGAGCAAACAGG